UUGAUUGCGAAUCGUUGCCUUCUGUGCUGGCCAGUCCUGGCAAGUGCACGUCGGUGACUUUCAUCCAAUACCCUGUGAACCUUUGGCCUCUGCUAGCUUCGGUCGGCAGAGGAAUUUUACACAAACUCGAAUGUAAUGAAAUUUAUUGUUGUGCGCAAGCACUAAUGUA
RNAcentral lists this unclassified non-coding RNA (169 nucleotides) under uncultured Sebacina. RNAcentral describes it as "sequence contains ITS1". The record is from RNAcentral. Lineage: Eukaryota; Fungi; Basidiomycota; Agaricomycetes; Sebacinales; Sebacinaceae.